RNAcentral lists this ribosomal RNA (2902 nucleotides) under Escherichia coli. Its description in RNAcentral is "Bacterial large subunit ribosomal RNA". It matches the Rfam family "Bacterial large subunit ribosomal RNA". The record is from RNAcentral. Lineage: Bacteria; Pseudomonadati; Pseudomonadota; Gammaproteobacteria; Enterobacterales; Enterobacteriaceae.
GUUAAGCGACUAAGCGUACACGGUGGAUGCCCUGGCAGUCAGAGGCGAUGAAGGACGUGCUAAUCUGCGAUAAGCGUCGGUAAGGUGAUAUGAACCGUUAUAACCGGCGAUUUCCGAAUGGGGAAACCCAGUGUGUUUCGACACACUAUCAUUAACUGAAUCCAUAGGUUAAUGAGGCGAACCGGGGGAACUGAAACAUCUAAGUACCCCGAGGAAAAGAAAUCAACCGAGAUUCCCCCAGUAGCGGCGAGCGAACGGGGAGCAGCCCAGAGCCUGAAUCAGUGUGUGUGUUAGUGGAAGCGUCUGGAAAGGCGCGCGAUACAGGGUGACAGCCCCGUACACAAAAAUGCACAUACUGUGAGCUCGAUGAGUAGGGCGGGACACGUGGUAUCCUGUCUGAAUAUGGGGGGACCAUCCUCCAAGGCUAAAUACUCCUGACUGACCGAUAGUGAACCAGUACCGUGAGGGAAAGGCGAAAAGAACCCCGGCGAGGGGAGUGAAAAAGAACCUGAAACCGUGUACGUACAAGCAGUGGGAGCCUCUUUUAUGGGGUGACUGCGUACCUUUUGUAUAAUGGGUCAGCGACUUAUAUUCUGUAGCAAGGUUAACCGAAUAGGGGAGCCGAAGGGAAACCGAGUCUUAACUGGGCGUUAAGUUGCAGGGUAUAGACCCGAAACCCGGUGAUCUAGCCAUGGGCAGGUUGAAGGUUGGGUAACACUAACUGGAGGACCGAACCGACUAAUGUUGAAAAAUUAGCGGAUGACUUGUGGCUGGGGGUGAAAGGCCAAUCAAACCGGGAGAUAGCUGGUUCUCCCCGAAAGCUAUUUAGGUAGCGCCUCGUGAAUUCAUCUCCGGGGGUAGAGCACUGUUUCGGCAAGGGGGUCAUCCCGACUUACCAACCCGAUGCAAACUGCGAAUACCGGAGAAUGUUAUCACGGGAGACACACGGCGGGUGCUAACGUCCGUCGUGAAGAGGGAAACAACCCAGACCGCCAGCUAAGGUCCCAAAGUCAUGGUUAAGUGGGAAACGAUGUGGGAAGGCCCAGACAGCCAGGAUGUUGGCUUAGAAGCAGCCAUCAUUUAAAGAAAGCGUAAUAGCUCACUGGUCGAGUCGGCCUGCGCGGAAGAUGUAACGGGGCUAAACCAUGCACCGAAGCUGCGGCAGCGACACUAUGUGUUGUUGGGUAGGGGAGCGUUCUGUAAGCCUGUGAAGGUGUACUGUGAGGUAUGCUGGAGGUAUCAGAAGUGCGAAUGCUGACAUAAGUAACGAUAAAGCGGGUGAAAAGCCCGCUCGCCGGAAGACCAAGGGUUCCUGUCCAACGUUAAUCGGGGCAGGGUGAGUCGACCCCUAAGGCGAGGCCGAAAGGCGUAGUCGAUGGGAAACAGGUUAAUAUUCCUGUACUUGGUGUUACUGCGAAGGGGGGACGGAGAAGGCUAUGUUGGCCGGGCGACGGUUGUCCCGGUUUAAGCGUGUAGGCUGGUUUUCCAGGCAAAUCCGGAAAAUCAAGGCUGAGGCGUGAUGACGAGGCACUACGGUGCUGAAGCAACAAAUGCCCUGCUUCCAGGAAAAGCCUCUAAGCAUCAGGUAACAUCAAAUCGUACCCCAAACCGACACAGGUGGUCAGGUAGAGAAUACCAAGGCGCUUGAGAGAACUCGGGUGAAGGAACUAGGCAAAAUGGUGCCGUAACUUCGGGAGAAGGCACGCUGAUAUGUAGGUGAAGUCCCUCGCGGAUGGAGCUGAAAUCAGUCGAAGAUACCAGCUGGCUGCAACUGUUUAUUAAAAACACAGCACUGUGCAAACACGAAAGUGGACGUAUACGGUGUGACGCCUGCCCGGUGCCGGAAGGUUAAUUGAUGGGGUUAGCGGUAACGCGAAGCUCUUGAUCGAAGCCCCGGUAAACGGCGGCCGUAACUAUAACGGUCCUAAGGUAGCGAAAUUCCUUGUCGGGUAAGUUCCGACCUGCACGAAUGGCGUAAUGAUGGCCAGGCUGUCUCCACCCGAGACUCAGUGAAAUUGAACUCGCUGUGAAGAUGCAGUGUACCCGCGGCAAGACGGAAAGACCCCGUGAACCUUUACUAUAGCUUGACACUGAACAUUGAGCCUUGAUGUGUAGGAUAGGUGGGAGGCUUUGAAGUGUGGACGCCAGUCUGCAUGGAGCCGGCCUUGAAAUACCACCCUUUAAUGUUUGAUGUUCUAACGUUGGCCCCUGAUCGGGGUUGCGGACAGUGUCUGGUGGGUAGUUUGACUGGGGCGGUCUCCUCCUAAAGAGUAACGGAGGAGCACGAAGGUUGGCUAAUCCUGGUCGGACAUCAGGAGGUUAGUGCAAUGGCAUAAGCCAGCUUGACUGCGAGCGUGACGGCGCGAGCAGGUGCGAAAGCAGGUCAUAGUGAUCCGGUGGUUCUGAAUGGAAGGGCCAUCGCUCAACGGAUAAAAGGUACUCCGGGGAUAACAGGCUGAUACCGCCCAAGAGUUCAUAUCGACGGCGGUGUUUGGCACCUCGAUGUCGGCUCAUCACAUCCUGGGGCUGAAGUAGGUCCCAAGGGUAUGGCUGUUCGCCAUUUAAAGUGGUACGCGAGCUGGGUUUAGAACGUCGUGAGACAGUUCGGUCCCUAUCUGCCGUGGGCGCUGGAGAACUGAGGGGGGCUGCUCCUAGUACGAGAGGACCGGAGUGGACGCAUCACUGGUGUUCGGGUUGUCAUGCCAAUGGCACUGCCCGGUAGCUAAAUGCGGAAGAGAUAAGUGCUGAAAGCAUCUAAGCACGAAACUUGCCCCGAGAUGAGUUCUCCCUGACUCCUUGAGAGUCCUGAAGGAACGUUGAAGACGACGACGUUGAUAGGCCGGGUGUGUAAGCGCAGCGAUGCGUUGAGCUAACCGGUACUAAUGAACCGUGAGGCUUAACC